This 468-nucleotide ribosomal RNA is filed under the name uncultured bacterium. RNAcentral's name for it is "partial 16S ribosomal RNA". It matches the Rfam family "Bacterial small subunit ribosomal RNA", at positions 28 to 507 of the family's 1533-position model. The record is from RNAcentral.
GACGAACGCUGGCGGCGUGCUUAACACAUGCAAGUCGAACGGAAAGGCCCUGCUUUUGUUGGGUGCUCGAUUGGCGAACGGGUGAGUAACACGUGAGUAACCUGCCCUUGACUUUGGGAUAACUUCAGGAAACUGGGGCUAAUACCGGAUAGGAUCUCCUGCUGCAUGGGGGGGGUUGGAAAAUUUCGGCGGUUGUGGAUGGUCUCGCUGGUUAUCCGCUUGUUUGGGGGGUAGUGGCUUCCCAAGGCUUUGAGGGGUAGCCUGCCUGAGAGGGUGACCGGCCACAUUGGGACUGCGAUACGGACCAGACUCCUACGGGAGGCAGCAGUGGGGAAUAUUGCACAAUGGGCGGAAGCCUGAUGCAGCAACGCCGCGUGCGGGAUGCCGGCCUUCGGGUUGUAAACCGAUUUGGCAUGUGACGAAGAGUGAGUGACGGUAAUGGGUAAAGAAGCACCGGCUAACUACGUG